ACUGUAGAGCUUCCACACAUUUUUAGUUUCUAGAUUAUAGCUUUUUGUCUUAUUAUUUAAAAUACAUAUUCUUCAUAACUUACAUGUUAUAUUUAGGGACUGACAUAUCUUUCCAUCUAAUCGGGAAUAAGAGCUGAAGACAAUUAAAUGGAGAAAGGUGAUCUCAGGAAGCUUAUGGGAAGAAGCAGCAGCAUAGAAAGUGGAAAACAGAAAAGAUUUGUUCCUCAUAUCAGCUGAGCUCAGUAUUUUUUGGAGUUCAAUAAUUGCUGAGGAAACGAACACAUUCAGUGUUUACUAAGUAGCAGAGGUAUCAAAGCAUUGUCCAUUUUUAUUUUACACAAAAUAAAUGCACAGGGGUUUAACUCCAAGUAAUCAUAUCUGAAAAAAAUUUAGGCAUAUUAUAUAUCGAUUCUCAUUUAUAUAUGACUCCUACAUAAAGGUUCAGAGGCCUAAAGGCUUCAGGGUGAAGAGUAUUAACAACAGGAG
Molecule: long non-coding RNA, 486 nt
Filed under: Bos taurus (domestic cattle)
Lineage: Eukaryota; Metazoa; Chordata; Mammalia; Artiodactyla; Bovidae
Description: long non-coding RNA NONBTAT020478
Source: RNAcentral